RNAcentral lists this long non-coding RNA (2131 nucleotides) under Nicotiana benthamiana. RNAcentral describes it as "long non-coding RNA (NBEN_LNC011913)". Lineage: Eukaryota; Viridiplantae; Streptophyta; Magnoliopsida; Solanales; Solanaceae. The record is from RNAcentral.
UGGAAGAGCCAGCCCUCAGGCAUCCAAGUUCAGAGGGGGCUCAAAGUGUCCCAAAUCAUGGCUUGCAAGAGAGGGAAAGAAGUUAGAACUAGGAAUAAGCGCGAAGUGAUUAGGGAACAAUAAAAAAUGGUAUUCAUGCCUAGCCACAAGUGCAGGCUGGCACAUCCCUGACUACUUGUUUGGGUUGAACAAGUUAGGAGCAUACUUAGAAGGUUAGGCCUAAAUCUGGAUAUUGAUUAGGACACUAUCAGACUUAAGUCAAGGCUCAAACACAUAAGAGGGCAAAAAGGAAGUGGGAAUUUAUUGAGUUAAGGAGUUUAAAGAACAUAGUUUAGGGCCAUAGACAUCAAUGUUAUAGUGGUGCUAUGUCUUGAACCAUACUCACAUACAAAUGGGUAAGGGAUAGGGGUUCACAUAAGAGAACUAGUACUAAAAUUGCAGGAACAUAGUGAAGAAGACAUAGCAAAUCUUUAAAAAUUAAACAUGUAGUAGAGCAGCAUUAUCAAAUUAAGAAGAACAUACCAAUUGCAAAGUGAAUAAUAAACAGAAUAGCAGAGCAAUCGCUGAAAGUAAAAUAGUAUGAGAAAAACUCAAGUUUCUGCAGAACAGUAGAAGGAUUGAAGAAAAUUUAAAGUUGUUUCAGAAAUCAAGAGUAGAAAGUAGAGUGCUUAGUACUGUGAUUGAGAGUGUAGUGUAAAGUAAGUGUUAAAGCAUGUAGAGCUUGUUUCAAGUGCAGAAGUUAUGUCUCAAGUGCAAGAGGGUAGCCCCUUUUAUAGUGCUGAAAACAAGUAAGGAAAGGGUAAGAGAAUAGUUUCGAAAUCAAUACAUAAGGUUUCCGUUUUGAUAAGGGAUUUGAUGCAAACGGGUAAGACAAUUAAGGAAAGGUUUUGAUUUAAAAUCUUUUCCAAAUCAAUAUAAUAUGGGAAAACACAAUAGUUUAUAUAAGAAAAUGGUUUAGCACUACACGGUUUGGGAAAAAUAGGGAAAGACAAUCUAUCAACAGCCAGUAAAUUCACAAUUUGAGUCUUGGUAUGAAUGAAUCAAACCAGGAAAGGUGAAGAGGGGUUUAAUUUAAAGAAAAUAAAUAACGCUCAAUCAAACCUUAGAAAAAGGAGUUCGGAAUCAAUCACAAGUUGGAAAAAACAAGACUUUUGAAAGAAAGGCUCUCAUAUAUAAAGAACUCAAACAACACAAACAAGAGAACAUCAUAUAGAAAAGAUUUAGAGUCAUACAGACAGGGUUCAGCAGUCUCCUUCAGAGGCUUAUGAGAAGACAAACAAAAAGAACAGGAGUUUCAAGUAAAAUAGAAUGUCGAACUAAUUUGAAACAUAGGGAACACAUGUAAGAACAGUUUGUUACUCAAAUAAUUCCAGAAGAGAAGAGGCAACAGAAGCUUAGAAAAAUAGCAGAGGACGCAUGCUUAGAAAAACGAAAAUCCAGUAAAGGCAAAUAGAGAUUAAAAGCUCAGUAAAAUACAGUAAAGGAACUUACGAGAUGGACAUGAAAAGCAUGCUUAUAGAAAUCAGUAGAAAGAAGAACAUAAUAGAAGUACACUCAUAACAAGGUAAAUAUGAGAACGCAAGAGAAAAACUCAUCAUAACAUGGCAUAGACAGAUUUACACAAAGAAAAGAAGAAGAAGAGACAUAAGUCAUUUUGUGAUUUUAAUAAACCCUAAAUUGAAAACAAAUUUAUGUUUUUAAAAAGAAAAAGAAAAUUAGGGAAAAGGCUUAAUACGUUGACGAUAGCACAGAUUCACCACAGAUCUAGGCAAAUAAAAGAAGAAGGAGCAUCGAAUAGCUUUAGGGUUUCUCUGAAAUCCUAGAAAUGAAAAGGCUCGGAAGAAAGUCCAAUCUGGAGUCGGAGAUGGCCAUAGCUAGCCUCCUAAUGCUUGAAUACAUCAGAGAAAAGCUGGAGAGGACAUAGAACCAUAGAUCUGUAGAGGAUCUGAACGUACAUUAUCGAGGUUAGACCUCGAAAUCUCAAACACCCAUGGCUUGGGGUGAAGGAAGGAGAGUACAGGUCGUCCAUGGCCUGAGAAGCCAUGGACUCCAUUGAGAUAAUGGUCGAAGAAGGGUAGGCGGCUACAAGGGUUUCAAGUUCUUGAGAGCAUUUUGAGGGAGAAGAGGUUUC